RNAcentral lists this ribosomal RNA (488 nucleotides) under uncultured Lachnospiraceae bacterium. Its description in RNAcentral is "partial 16S ribosomal RNA". Lineage: Bacteria; Bacillati; Bacillota; Clostridia; Lachnospirales; Lachnospiraceae. The record is from RNAcentral.
CACGUAGUUAGCCGGGGCUUCUUAGUCAGGUACCGUCAUUUUCUUCCCUGCUGAUAGAGCUUUACAUACCGAGAUACUUCUUCACUCACGCGGCGUCGCUGCAUCAGGGUUUCCCCCAUUGUGCAAUAUUCCCCACUGCUGCCUCCCGUAGGAGUUUGGGCCGUGUCUCAGUCCCAAUGUGGCCGUCCGCCCUCUCAGGCCGGCUACCGAUCGUCGCUUUGGUGGGCCGUUACCCCGCCAACUGGCUAAUCGGACGCGGAUCCAUCGUAUGCCGAUAAAUCUUUUCACACCGUACCAUGCGGUACUGUGCGCUUAUGCGGUAUUAGCAGCUGUUUCCAACUGUUAUCCCCCUGCAUACGGCAGGUUAUCCACGCGUUACUCACCCGUCCGCCACUAACUUAACAAUCACUAGGUUUCAUGUUAAGCCCGUUCGACUUGCAUGUGUUAGGCACGCCGCCAGCGUUCAUCCUGAGCCAGGAUCAAACUCU